This 496-nucleotide ribosomal RNA is filed under the name uncultured bacterium. Its description in RNAcentral is "partial 16S ribosomal RNA". It matches the Rfam family "Bacterial small subunit ribosomal RNA", at positions 29 to 507 of the family's 1533-position model. The record is from RNAcentral.
AUGAACGCUGGCGGCGUGCCUAAUACCUGCAAGUCGAGCGAACAGACGAGGAGCUUGCUCCUCUGACGUUAGCGGCGGACGGGUGAGUAACACGUGGAUAACCUACCUAUAAGACUGGGAUAACUUCGGGAAACCGGAGCUAAUACCGGAUAAUACAUUGAACCGCAUGGUUCAAUAGUGAAAGCCGGUUUUGCUGUCACUUAUAGAUGGAUCCGCGCCGCAUUAGCUAGUUGGUAAGGUAACGGCUUACCAAGGCAACGAUGCGUAGCCGACCUGAGAGGGUGAUCGGCCACACUGGAACUGAGACACGGUCCAGACUCCUACGGGAGGCAGCAGUAGGGAAUCUUCCGCAAUGGGCGAAAGCUUGACGGAGCAACGCCGCGUGAGUGAUGAAGGUCUUCGGAUCGUAAAACUCUGUUAUUAGGGAAGAACAAAUGUGUAAGUAACUAUGCACGUCUUGACGGUACCUAAUCAGAAAGCCACGGCUAACUACGUG